GAAGGCCCAAGCGUUAUCCGGAAUUACUGGGCGUAAAGCGUCCGCAGGCGGUUUGGUAAGUAUGCUGUUAAAUCUCAGGGGGGCUCAACCCUGAGGGCUGCAACGUAAACUGCCAGACUAGAGGAUGGGAGAGGCAUCUGGAAUUGUCGGUGUAGUAGUAAAAUGCGUUAAUAUCGACAGGAACACCAAAUGCGAAGGCAUGAUGCUAGAACAUUCCUGACGCUCAGGGACGAAAGCGUGGGUAGCGAAUCGGAUUAGAUACCCGAGUAGUCCACGCCGUAAACGAUGUGCACUAGGCAUUGGCAGUGUCGACCCUGUCAGUGCCGCUGAACCAAGCUAACGCGUUAAGUGCACCGCCUGGGGAGUACGGUCGCAAGACUA
This 381-nucleotide ribosomal RNA is filed under the name uncultured organism. RNAcentral describes it as "partial 16S ribosomal RNA". It matches the Rfam family "Bacterial small subunit ribosomal RNA", at positions 528 to 896 of the family's 1533-position model. The record is from RNAcentral.